RNAcentral lists this unclassified non-coding RNA (292 nucleotides) under uncultured fungus. RNAcentral describes it as "sequence contains ITS1". Lineage: Eukaryota; Fungi. The record is from RNAcentral.
GGACUACUGGGGUUUCUAAUCCCUUUUGCUCCCCACGCUUUCGAGCCUGAGCGUCAGAUCUUGUCCAGUAAGCUGCCUUCGCCGUUGGUGUUCCUCUUGAUAUCUACGCAUUUCACUGCUCCACCAAGAAUUCCGCUUACCCCUCCAAGUCUCUAGACUCGUAGUUUCGAACGCAGCACCGGGGUUAAGCCCCGGUAUUUCACGUCCGACACACGAGUCCGCCUGCGCUCCCUUUACGCCCAGUGAAUCCGAGUAACGCUUGCAGUCUCUGUAUUACCGCGGCGGCUGGCAC